This 253-nucleotide ribosomal RNA is filed under the name uncultured bacterium. RNAcentral's name for it is "partial 16S ribosomal RNA". It matches the Rfam family "Bacterial small subunit ribosomal RNA", at positions 524 to 776 of the family's 1533-position model. The record is from RNAcentral.
UACAGAGGGGGCAAGCGUUGUUCGGAAUUACUGGGCGUAAAGGGCGCGUAGGCGGCCUGUUAAGUCGAACGUGAAAUCCCCGGGCUCAACCCGGGAACUGCGUCCGAUACUGGCAGGCUUGAAUCCGGGAGAGGGAUGCGGAAUUCCAGGUGUAGCGGUGAAAUGCGUAGAUAUCUGGAGGAACACCGGUGGCGAAGGCGGCAUCCUGGACCGGUAUUGACACUGAGGCGCGAAAGCCAGGGGAGCAAACGGG